This 464-nucleotide ribosomal RNA is filed under the name Vreelandella stevensii. Its description in RNAcentral is "partial 16S ribosomal RNA". It matches the Rfam family "Bacterial small subunit ribosomal RNA", at positions 338 to 795 of the family's 1533-position model. Lineage: Bacteria; Pseudomonadati; Pseudomonadota; Gammaproteobacteria; Oceanospirillales; Halomonadaceae. The record is from RNAcentral.
CCUACGGGGAGCAGCAGUGGGGAAUAUUGGACAAUGGGCGAAAGCCUGAUCCAGCCAUGCCGCGUGUGUGAAGAAGGCCUUCGGGUUGUAAAGCACUUUCAGUGGGGAAGAAAGCCUUGGGGCUAAUACCCUCGAGGAAGGACAUCACCCACAGAAGAAGCACCGGCUAACUCCGUGCCAGCAGCCGCGGUAAUACGGAGGGUGCGAGCGUUAAUCGGAAUUACUGGGCGUAAAGCGCGCGUAGGCGGUCUGAUAAGCCGGUUGUGAAAGCCCCGGGCUCAACCUGGGAACGGCAUCCGGAACUGUCAGGCUAGAGUGCAGGAGAGGAAGGUAGAAUUCCCGGUGUAGCGGUGAAAUGCGUAGAGAUCGGGAGGAAUACCAGUGGCGAAGGCGGCCUUCUGGACUGACACUGACGCUGAGGUGCGAAAGCGUGGGUAGCAAACAGGAUUAGAUCCCCUGUAGUC